GAUAUAUAAUUUCAAUAUAAAAGGCUCUGAGAAAAUAUUGAGUUAUGGGUUAACCCAUGUAUUCCUCAAAUGUACGUUUGUUUGUUUCCUUGUACUUUUAGACAGAAUCUUGAGCCUGGACUGCCCUUGAACAUUUUAUCUGCUUCUGCCUCCUGAGUUUGGGAUUAUCAUUUUAUACUGUCACCUUUUGCUUCAGACCAUGGGUUUUGUCAACAAAACAUGAAGAAUAUCUUUUGAUUUCAAAGACACUAGCACUUAUAUCCUGUCAUCACUUGGUUGAUCAAGAAUCAGAAUAGACACCCAGACCCAGGUGAAACCAGAAUAUGAACCAUCCUGCAUGUCAGAAACAAAGACUCAUAGACUGUAUUCCAGGAGAACACUUGGAAUCGUCCCCUUUAUCACCAUAAAUUGAGCAGCUGGCCUCUUAACAUAAAUAUUUCUGAGAUCUCACUUU
RNAcentral lists this long non-coding RNA (454 nucleotides) under Mus spicilegus (steppe mouse). RNAcentral describes it as "lncRNA (ENSMSIG00000023859.1)". The record is from RNAcentral. Lineage: Eukaryota; Metazoa; Chordata; Mammalia; Rodentia; Muridae.